UGUGAUGUAACUCUCAGUCUACUGGCAAUGU
RNAcentral lists this non-coding RNA (31 nucleotides) under Rattus norvegicus (Norway rat). Lineage: Eukaryota; Metazoa; Chordata; Mammalia; Rodentia; Muridae. The record is from RNAcentral.